CUGUGUGGUAGCUUGGCCAGAAGAUUCCAGUCUAAUAAGUCUCUAGUCUGUUUGCUCCAAGUUUCGAUGUUUAAUGCAUGUGUGGAGUUUGCGGGGGGUAAGCAGACACUGCUCAGACCUUCUGCACUAUCCACCUUACAGUAAGACACGUGGCCUGCAUUAUUAGUGCUCGGGUACCUGCUAACCUCUUCUCUGUCCCUACCCCCCCAUUCCGAUCUGGAGAUUACCCAGUCCUGGUUUGGUCCCCUAAAGCCAGCUCUCUGAACUCAUCUUUGGACUCAUCACUGCCUGCCCACGCUCUGAACCUUAUUAUCAGCCUUAAAGCCAUCCGGCUUAGGCCCUGUUAUUCUCUGCUGCACAUUCAACCAUGAGUAUUGACUUCUUGCAUUAAGAAACCUUUAAACAUGCCUCUCUGAGUCUCGUGUUGAUCUCUGUGUUUUGGGUCAGAAAAACUGCAAAUAGGCAUGUGAGUAUUGUAUUUAGAUAGACUUGAAAAAUGCAAACCUAUCCUUUUAAGAUUUGUAAAUAUAGUGCUUGAAGUUUGGAGACACAAUAAGACUGAACAUUAGGCACAUCGGUGUGUAAUGCUACGGGUAGCAUUGGGCAAGAUGACGACACAGUACAUACCGUACUGUACUGUACAUUGUAUAAACGUAUCUACAGCCAUUUUUUCAAUUUUACAAAUCAGUUAGCAGGAUGCUUUAUGGCAAUACAAGAUCUUUAUAUGUGUUGUGAAUAAUGUUACAUUCCAUUCUGUGAGACGUUUGAAGAAAGUCGUUCUCAUCUAUUUUAAUAGUAUCCUGUAGUGCAACCCUGUUUUCCUAUCUGUGUGAAGAGAUUUUGAGGCAAUCUUUCCGCCCAUCCUGAUUCUCUUAUGUUACUACACCUCAACUAAAUGAAUGAAGCAAUUGUUAGAGAAUAUGGAAAUCCUUGUGUGUCUCAUUAAACCUUUAGAACAUUGUGAACUGAA
Molecule: long non-coding RNA, 970 nt
Organism: Perca flavescens (yellow perch)
Lineage: Eukaryota; Metazoa; Chordata; Actinopteri; Perciformes; Percidae
Exons: 2
Source: RefSeq, a predicted model, not a curated record